This is an unclassified non-coding RNA of Callithrix jacchus (white-tufted-ear marmoset), 116 nucleotides long. It matches the Rfam family "Metazoan signal recognition particle RNA". From Rfam's summary of the family: The signal recognition particle (SRP) is a universally conserved ribonucleoprotein. The record is from Ensembl. Lineage: Eukaryota; Metazoa; Chordata; Mammalia; Primates; Cebidae.
GCUGGGUGUGGUGGCUCACACCUGUAAUCCAAGCGCUUUGGAGGCCAAGGUGGGAAGAUCACCUGAGGUCGGGAGUUCAAGACCAGCCUGACCAACAUGGUGAAACCCCGCCUUUA